AUGCGGGCUGAAGAUCCUGAGUUCAAAUACAGUGUACAGGUUGAUGGUGAUGGUCGAGUCAAGACUUUGAUGUGGACAACAGGGAGAAGCAUUGAGAAGUUUAAGUGUUUUGGCGAUGUUAUGACGUUUGAUACGACAUACAAAACUAAUCUAUACGACAUGCCAUUUGGCCUCUUCGUUGGUGUCAAUAAUCACUUUCAAAGCAUUAAUUUUGGAGGGGUGCUGAUGAGCGAUGAGAAAAUUGAAACUUUUAAGUGGAUAUUCAUAGAGUUCUUUCACAUGAUAGGAGCGCCACAACCACACACAAUCCUCACAGGUGAAUAA
This 324-nucleotide ribosomal RNA is filed under the name Triticum aestivum (bread wheat). RNAcentral describes it as "partial small subunit ribosomal RNA". The record is from RNAcentral. Lineage: Eukaryota; Viridiplantae; Streptophyta; Magnoliopsida; Poales; Poaceae.